Non-coding RNA from Trichobilharzia regenti, 46 nucleotides. The record is from Rfam. Lineage: Eukaryota; Metazoa; Platyhelminthes; Trematoda; Strigeidida; Schistosomatidae.
GUACUGAUGAAGAGUCCCAAACUAGGACGAAAUGGGUGUCCAGUAC